Molecule: ribosomal RNA, 420 nt
Filed under: bacterium
Lineage: Bacteria
Description: partial 16S ribosomal RNA
Rfam family: Bacterial small subunit ribosomal RNA
Source: RNAcentral
UGGGGGAUAUUGCACAAUGGGCGAAAGCCUGAUGCAGCGACGCCGCGUGGGGGAUGAAGGCUUUCGGGUUGUAAACCUCUUUCGCUAUCGAACAACGCCCGCUUAGGGUGGGUUGAGGGUAGGUGGAGAAGAAGCGCCGGCUAACUACGUGCCAGCAGCCGCGGUAAUACGUAGGGCGCGAGCGUUGUCCGGAAUUAUUGGGCGUAAAGGGCUUGUAGGCGGCUUGUUGCGCCUGCUGUGAAAACGCGGGGCUUAACUUCGCGCGUGCAGUGGGUACGGGCAGGCUUGAGUGUGGUAGGGGUGACUGGAAUUCCAGGUGUAGCGGUGGAAUGCGCAGAUAUCUGGAGGAACACCGAUGGCGAAGGCAGGUCACUGGGCCAUUACUGACGCUGAGGAGCGAAAGCAUGGGUAGCGAACAGG